GACAUCAUGGCAUAGUGGUUUUAGUGUUGGACUACAACUCUGGAGACCAGGGUUCAAUUCCCCAUUCAGCCA
Non-coding RNA from Phrynosoma platyrhinos (Desert horned lizard), 72 nucleotides. The record is from the annotation of a GenBank genome assembly. Lineage: Eukaryota; Metazoa; Chordata; Lepidosauria; Squamata; Phrynosomatidae.